CAGGUAAAAAAAUUUCCGGACAUACCAUCUUAGUGAGGCGGAUAUGUGUAAAAUUAUUGAUCAGUAAUUCCCGUUGAGGUUAAAAGCAUCAAACUUUUACAAUUGAUGCAGUUUUAUUUGCAUAAUAGUUUUAUGAAGUGGGGCCAUCGCUAUUUUGCUGCUAACUCGUACGUGAAAACGGCUGAUUAGUGAUUUUCUUCUAUUGAAUUCUAUUAUAGCCAAAAAAUGUGAAAUUUUGUAUUCAAUUAUGGCUUGCAUCAUCAGAAAGCUUAUAAAAAACUGCAUAUAAGACGUUUAGACAGUUUUUUGAUUUCUGAAAUAGUUUUCGAAUUAUAAACUGUUAAAAACGCAUUUUCAAACAUCGAAUAAUUAAUUAGGGACUUUUAGCGAGAUAAUGUGCCUAA
Paramuricea clavata is the source of this 404-nucleotide non-coding RNA. The record is from the annotation of a GenBank genome assembly. Lineage: Eukaryota; Metazoa; Cnidaria; Anthozoa; Malacalcyonacea; Plexauridae.